RNAcentral lists this long non-coding RNA (922 nucleotides) under Equus caballus (horse). RNAcentral describes it as "lncRNA (ENSECAG00000041506.2)". Lineage: Eukaryota; Metazoa; Chordata; Mammalia; Perissodactyla; Equidae. The record is from RNAcentral.
GUGAGAAAAAAAAGUUCUAAUAGUGGAAAAGGGUAGAAAAUGAACAUUUUCAUCUCUCUUUUCUCCCCUCAGCCCUCUGUAAUCACUCCCCUGAGGUACGUCCUGUUAACAGAGUUUGUAUUAAAUCAUCGCGCGCGAGCAUCGGGGUUUAUUUAUUCACUAUCCAGUGAACACUGACUCCCACCCGCGUGCCAGGCAUUGUGCGGGUCGCGCACAAAGAUACGGCGCUAUUUCCACCCUUAGGGCCGGCAUGCGGUGGAGCCCGCUUCUGCCUGGGGUCAGGCCGCCGGGAGGAAGAGGAGGCAGCGCUGGAGCCAGAUUGCAGCGAACACAGUUGUCACCUGGAGAAGCCCAGGCCCGGGAGCAUCCCGCGGAGCCCAUGGGACACAGAGGAGGAACCAGGAGAGUCGGGGCAGGCGUCGCGGAGGAGGUGAGGUCUCGAAGAAGAGGCACUGGCCAGAGGAGGGUACGGAAGGACAUUACAGGAAAAGGAAGCACACUGCAGGGCCCAGGUGUCACCAGGGAUAGAGAUGAGAGUCACCUGCACCUGGGAACGUCGUGUUCUCCUGCCAUGGUACCUUGUGACGGACACAGCUCCACCUGUGCAGCUGGACAGCCAGAAAUGCACAACCCCAAUCUCACUGUGAGGAAGCAGAAGACGAACACAAAAUGAGGACUGUUCUGUUUCUAAAAAGAAGGACGCACAUGUGGGGGGUGGGCUCUAUUUUUCAGAUAUGUCAAUGUUAUAAAAGACAAUGAAAGGCUGUGGAAAUGUUUUGGACGAAAGGAGACUAAAAGAGCAUGACAACUAAAUGCAAUUCCCGACCCUAGAAUCCUGUCCUGGAGAAGAAUGAAGUGCUAAAAAGAACAUUAUUAAAUCAACUGACAAAACCAGAAUAUGGCUGCCAGAUUAGAUAAAAGC